Molecule: ribosomal RNA, 464 nt
Filed under: Vreelandella stevensii
Lineage: Bacteria; Pseudomonadati; Pseudomonadota; Gammaproteobacteria; Oceanospirillales; Halomonadaceae
Description: partial 16S ribosomal RNA
Rfam family: Bacterial small subunit ribosomal RNA
Source: RNAcentral
CCUACGGAGGCAGCAGUGGGGAAUAUUGGACAAUGGGCGAAAGCCUGAUCCAGCCAUGCCGCGUGUGUGAAGAAGGCCUUCGGGUUGUAAAGCACUUUCAGUGGGGAAGAAAGCCUUGGGGCUAAUACCCUCGAGGAAGGACAUCACCCACAGAAGAAGCACCGGCUAACUCCGUGCCAGCAGCCGCGGUAAUACGGAGGGUGCGAGCGUUAAUCGGAAUUACUGGGCGUAAAGCGCGCGUAGGCGGUCUGAUAAGCCGGUUGUGAAAGCCCCGGGCUCAACCUGGGAACGGCAUCCGGAACUGUCAGGCUAGAGUGCAGGAGAGGAAGGUAGAAUUCCCGGUGUAGCGGUGAAAUGCGUAGAGAUCGGGAGGAAUACCAGUGGCGAAGGCGGCCUUCUGGACUGACACUGACGCUGAGGUGCGAAAGCGUGGGUAGCAAACAGGAUUAGAUACCCUGGUAGUC